CCCCUGUGCAGAGGGCUGUGAGAGUCUUGGUGGGAAGUGUCGAAGCUGGGGGGGCGGCCCUGGGGGCUCGGGUCCUCCCCGUCAGUGCCCCUGCCCCGGGGGCUUCAUAUCCCCCUAGAGAAGUGCUGUGAAAGGAGGGGCUCCUGGCAGGGAAGAUUGGAGCAUCUCCCCACAGCGCUGGCUCCCAGGGGCCCCCAGGGCAGGUCCCUCGGGGCGGCACCUACCUGGACUGCAUUUGGGGCAGCACUCGGUCCCCACUGGGUACUCCUCCUCUUUGCACUGGGGCGUCGCCAGGGUGUAGCGGGGGGACCCCAGAAGGAGGAGAUACAAGGCCUGGAGGGGACAGAUGGGGCGUUGGAGGGGAGCAGCAGCCCAGGCUGCCCCGGAGCCUCGAUAUCAGCCUCUGUGAAAUGGGGCAGCAGCAGCCCCAUAGCUGGAGGUGGCCUGGGAGGGAGGACACAGGUGGGGCCCGACAGGCUCUGGGAAUCAUCCAGGACAGCCCUGGCGUUAGGUGGGGACUGGCCCGUCUCCUGCCUCUGUCCCCAAGUCCACCAGCAUGGUACCCCAAGGACUGGGUCUCUGCUCUCACCAGGGACCACACUCCCUGGGAAGCCCUGAGCCACUCUGGGCUGGACAACUGGCCAUCCUGCCUCUGGCCUGUGCUGGGCCCGCUGAGCCCUGGGGACCCAGCAGGGUCAGAGCAGGACGACCGUCAGGGGCUCACAGGCCAGGCACGGGAGACAGGCUGUUCAGGGCCCGGGCUGGGGUGGGCCAUGAGGGGGCCCAGGGCCCAGGGCUGACUCUGCUAACCCUGAAGUUUCCGCCUGGGCUGGCAGGAAGCCACACGGGCAAGCAGGCUCUCCCCCCCGGCCUGGCCCUGGACUCCACCCUACUCACACAGACACGGACUUUAUCUCCCAGGACAGGGAGGGGCUGAGGGUGGAGAUUAGCCACCUGCUGGGGGCUCCCACCCCAGGGCGGGAACAGCUCAGGCAUCCAAGAACAGCCGGGCCCCGGAGGCACCCUCACCCUGUGCUGGGGGCUCACCUUCGUCCCCUGAGUGGGGUUUCGGGGACGAGGCCCACCAGGAGCUGUUCUAUGGCUUUCCUGUCUGUCUGCUCCCCUACCCCAGGGCCAGGGUGAGUGGGUGACAGAGGGCUGGGUCAGCCUAGGAGAGCCGGGCAGCUGGGGGACAAGGGCAGGACAGGGACAUCGUGGGCAGGGAUGGGGAAGAGGGUACACCCAGGGGCAGGAAUAGGGGCGCUGGGGCGCGGCUGGACAGACAGGCAGGCUCAGGAGACUCACCAGGCUCAGGGCAUCAGCCUUGGGUGCCGGGCUCCAUGGGGGUGGCCCCCAGCCUCGCAGAGGCUCCAUGUCUCUCCUCACGACCCCUCAUUCCCUGGCUGCUGUCCCUAGCCCCCUGCCAGCAGGACGAGCUUUAGCACUUGGGCUUCCUGCUGCCUCGCUGGCUGAAAGAGAAAGAGAAACUGCAGCAGGAGCCAGCGAGGACGGCCUUCGGGGUGAUCUCAGGAAGUAUUCGUCUCCAGUCCCCAAGCAUGUGCCAUUGGGGCCCUAGGCUGCCAGGGGAUCAGGACCCCACAGUGACAGGCAGGGAGGGCCCUGGGAUGCAGUCUGCAGUUGGCAGGACCAGCGGUCCAGAGCAGAGGUCAGGGCAGGGGGAGGGGCGCAGCAUAGGCGGCAGGGGGGAUCUCCUGCUGACCCUAGAGAGCCAGCCUGCAGCUCCUGACAGCAGGAGCCAAGAGGAACCUCCUUGGCUGUGUCUUACCUGUCUCUGUUGAAAAGGGGGGACCCUACGUCUAUGGAAAGGGGGAACCAGCGUCUAUGGAAAGGCGGGAUCCUGCUUCUACGGAAAGGGGGCCCAGCCACUUCAAGGAAACCCCGCCUCCCAGCAGUGCAUUCUGGGCGUGUCCACCCUCUGCCUGGGGCUGGGUCAGGCUGGUUUCCACCUGCACAGCCCUGCGCACGUCUCUGCAGAAGGUGACCCUUCCCCAAUCCCAGGAGGCUGGGGGUCGCUGAGUCCCCAUCAGGGUGAGAAGGGGGACAUUUUGUGAGCACCCACAGGGGCCCCCACUGUGUCCACCCCCACCUGUCCUGGGACGGGGUGGGAGUGGCUAUCUCCUGCUCUCAUUUCACAGGUGGGGACCUGGGGCUCAGAAACGGACAGGGCCUUGCCCAGGGUCUCCCAUGUGCAAACUGUGCUCAGCCUCAAACCCCAACCUUCCUGUGCAGACGGGGUUCUCCCCACUCCACCUUCCCUGGAGCCAUGGCCAUCUCCCGAGCUGGGGGACAGGAGGGCAGGCCUGGGAGAGCAGACCCUCAUACACACACCUGGUGCCUAAGAGUCACACUUGGGACUGGUGAGAGGCACCCACCCAGCCCUGGCAUCCUGGAUGGGGAGCGACUGGGUGAGUCCGGCCCCUGGCCCCCAUGCCCGCUGGCUGUCACAUCACAUUAAAGUCUGAGGCUCAUGUGAUGCACGUGGCAUGCCUCUGGCCCCCUUCAUCUUUGAGCUGGAAAGUCAAUUAAAGGUGGGGGCUUCCAUCUAAUCAGACCCAUCACGACCCUGAUGGGCUUGUCCAUCUCCAUAGGCCCCAGGCAGGUCCCCAUCAGGUGCUAAGGCUGGGCCCUCAAGGACACAGGAACCACCGCCUCCAGUGUACCGAUUGCUGGAUGCCCAGCCCAGGCUAACCUGGAGCCCCUUCUCUGUCCUGACUUUGGCACAAAAUCCUCCUCCAGGGUCACAGCCCCAGACCCCACCCUGCCCCACUGAACCUCAGGGCAUCUGCUGGACAUGAAGGUGUCGGUUUUCCCUGCCCCCUUGUGCCUCUGGUCUUGGGAGGAGGGUUGUGAGAGCCCACCUCACAUGAUGUGGGAGCAGGACCCCUGGAGGCCGGGGACCCCACUGGAAGGUUCACUUUUCCGUGGGCUGCAGGCACCUGGGGCAGCGAGGUUUGCCUGGAUCUCCCCAGGGAGGGGUCCCAUUGGGCAGGACUGGCUGGCAGUCACCAGUGUCUUUGGGGUCACUAUCUAUUUCUAUUUCUAGGGGACCCUGGGAGGAGACCCUGGGCACUGGGGAAGGAACAGGGCAGGAGUGAAGUCCGAGGGCUGGGUGGAGGCUGACCACUGCCCUAUCGGCAAAGCUUCGCAGCGCCCAGAGGCAGCGUCCACCCUGGCCACCAUCACCCGGGACGACCAGCCCAGCCCCACAGACCCUGGUGCUCUGAGGUAGGGUGGGGGUUUGGUGGGACCAGGGGCUUGGGAGCUCCCAUGAGACCCAGCAGCACAGGGUCCCAUCCCCACACCCAGGGGCCUUUUAGAGGGUGCCCCCACCCCGCUCCCCCACGUGCACUCACACCCCCUGCCCCCAGCACUGCCAGGGGGUUUCCAAUGAAGGGAAAGGGGCACCCCCUCUGCACCCUCUGCUUGGUCCCAAGAGCCCUGGGGAGUGCUUUAGAAUGCCCUGGAAACCCCAGCAGCACACGGGUGCCUCAGAGCACACUGCAGGCACCCAGGGCAGGGACAGGGCUCUGGGACCACCUCUGCUCCCUGCCAUGCCCCCAGGGACCUCCCAAGUCCUGGGAAGAUCCUUGGGGUGGGGUUGGCCAGAGAGGGAGGAUGUUCUCCCCACACCUGGUGAGGCCCCCAGGACCCUCGAUCCCGGCUCUCAACCCACCACUCCCUUCAGAUGCCUCCUUUCAUCAGAGAUCCUUUCAUCCACCCCACCCUGGGCAGGUGGGGAAACUGAGGCACAGCAAAGGGCAGGACUUACCCACAGGCAUCAGUGAGUCUCAGCUGGAAUGGGGAGUCCCAUGGCUGGCUCAGCCCCUGUACCCCUGGCCCAUCCCUCCCCACCCAGCCACCUCAAGACUCAAGGCCCUAGAUGCUGAGCCAGCGUCACGCCCCAAGGCAGCAGGGGAGACCCGCCCAGGGAGCCUUCUGUACCAGGUCUCUGCUGAGCCAUGGCCUCUUCAGGAGGCUUUCCUGAUGCCUGAGUUUCCAACCACACCCCCUGCACCCUCACCCAGUGACCCUGGUGUCUUAUUGGUUCCUUGUCUUCCCACCUCCCCCCUGGAAUGCAAAUUCCGUGGCAGGAGUUCUGUGUCCAUUUUAGCAGGAAGACGAAGGGCUGGGCUCCAGUCUCAGCAUCACCAUUCCUGUGCUCACUCCUCACUCGCUGUUCACUCACUCAUUCAGCACCCAGUAGUUCAGGCCAGGCUCAGUUCUGGGCGCCAGACUCAUUGAGGAGGAAAUGAGACAGGAGGAGGGUGCAGACAGGGCUCCUGCCCACGCACCAGGAGUCCCCAUGGCUGGCUGUCGCGUCUGCUCCUCGGCCCCAGGCAUCCAGGAAUCAGGAGCAGGGCAGGACCAGGGUACGCCCCAGGGAGCCCCGCACCUGUCUGAGGCUCCAUGGGGCUCUCGUGCCCCUUACUUAUGGGGGGGGGCAGGUAGAGCCCGCACCCCAGGGCCUCUCCUUCCAGUCAUCCCUGUGAUGUGGGCUGGGAUCCAGGGAAGCCGCCUCUCCUGACUCAGCCAGAGCCUGUGUCCAGGGACCCCAGGGCUCCUGCAGGGUGCCCAACCUCAGGGCCCAGGGGAGGGCCCGGCAGGAGCUUCAGAGGCAUCUGUGCAUGCCUCCCCCCAGUGCAGAUGGGGAAACUGAGGCUCAGCCUCUCCCCAAACCCAACUCUGCCGCAGCAAGAGGAGCCUCCAUCACCUGGCUAUCCCUUGAGACCUGCCCCUGCGCCCACCGUUCCCUCCCAGGGGCUGCCCACCCCACCACAUCGCCGACACCCGGAGCUCCCGGCCAGGACACCUCCCGAUGGGCUGAGGAAUCCCUGAUCACAUUUCCUCCUCUUCUUGAGAGGGAGAUCUCUGGGGUCCCGAGCAUGGGAGAGAUGCUGAGAACCAGGGUGCUUGAGCCCAGGCCUGGAGGGUGGGAGGCAGGGUCGUCCUGAAAGCCCACCUUGAGGCCCCCCCUCCUCUCCUCUGCAUUCUUGGUGGCCUCAGCCCCCUGCUCUGUGGGAGCCCCGGGCUGGGAAGUGGGCUCAGAGGCAAAGCAGCCUGGGCCUCACCCCCUGGGGCUCAUGGUCCAGUGAGGGAGCUGAGUCUAAAAGCCACUGUCAGCGUCAUGUGGUGAGGGCUGGGUAUGGGCAGCAGAUGUGGGCUGGGGCUCUGAAGAUGAACAGGAGUCCUGCUGGGGGACAAGGUGAGAAAGGGCAUUCCCGGAGGAAAGAUGUGGGUUGAACAAUAUGGCCGGGAAGUUCUUGGGGUCCAGCCCUGGUGAGGCAUGGAAGGGGGCCUCGACACAGAGCUGGCCGAGGCUGGCCCCUUGAGGGAGGCUGCAGACCCCGGGUGCGUCCUGUGCACGGGAGACUGUGCAGGUGUCAGGCUGGUGGGGAGGGUGGACGGAGUAGACAGGGGCGUGAUGUCUCCCAGGUGGGAGCCUCUGGGAGGUGAGGAGCAGGGCAGGGAGGGCAGAAGGGCGUGGAGAGAGGUCAACUCCAGGGACGCCCAGAGGCGCAGGGCCUGCAGGAGUCGGUGUCCGACUCUCAGGGUGCGGGUAGAGGUGGACGGAGAGGACGGCAACUCCUCAGCCUCAUGCCUGGGACAGACGGGAGAGAACUGGGGGUUGGGACAGGGGUCAGAGGAGGGGCAGAGUGUGCUUGGGCCACCAGGGACUUCCCAGAGGCCCAGGUGCCUGCUCAAAUCCAGGCUUGUCCUGGGAGCAGAACUGGGGGUGCUGUGGGCGCCCAGACCUGGUUUUGUCUAGCUCCAGACCAGGGUAUCAGUUCUCGUCUCAGACGUCUCCCCAGCGCCCCGUGCCCAGUCCCCCACCAGCCCUCCCAACUCCUCCUCCACAACUCCCCCACCGCCUCUGCUCCCUGGCAAAAUCAGGGCCCUGGGAGGCAGCUGUGUGCCACGCUUCACCUUGCUGCACCCACACCGGGACCCCUUGUGGGCAUGGAGAGGCUGCCUCAAGAGGCUCCUCAGAGGUCUGCUCCCUCCAGGCACAUGCUCUCACCUCGGCACCCCGCCCUCACUCUGGCUCCCCUGCUCUGCCUAGUCCAGACAGCAGCUAGGGACACCCCUAGCUGCCCAUGACACCACGGUCACGGUCGCCCCCUCCCUGCACCCUCUGGGGCCCCUCACCAAAUCCCCCCCCCCGCCCCCCAAGGCCUGCCCAUCAGCCCAGACUUGCCUCUCCAACUCAUGUCUCCCUUUGCUACAGCCACACCAACCCCUUUGCGUCCCUGCUUAUUCCAGCUCCUUCCAUCCCAGAGCCCCACGCAGGCCAUUCCCUCUGCCGGCUCAUCCUGGGAGGUCAUCCUGAUGUCUCUCCUGUCCUCAGAAACAAUCUCAGCUCAUACCUGUGCCGUGCUCCCUGGUGUCUGGCCCUCACCUCACCUACAGGCCCUCCUGCCAUCCUAACCCUCACAGUUACGCUGUGUGAAUAGACGGUCAGGGCCCUAGGGACCACGGCUUUACAGGUCAGGAGACCAGGCGGAGAGCUGGGGCCAGGCCAAGGGAGGCCACCUCUCCAGAAGGAGCAAAGGAGGGUUGGACCAAACAAGUGGCUCCGGCCACUUGGCAAUGAUUCAAUGCUGCCUCCCUGGUUUCAGCUCCAAGAGAGACUUCUGGGAAAUGUUGAAGGUGGAGGGCUCCUCCUGCCCCUGGUUCAACAAGCAAAUGGACAAUCCCAGCCCUCGGAAUGGGACCAGCACCCAGGGGGCCUUUGGGAGCAUCGGGGGCCUCCUGGCUCCACGUUGGGCAGCUGGGCCCGGGGACCAUUGGCCAAGAGCAGGAGAAGGUGAGGAUGGACGGCUGGGAAAGAGAAGAAAGAGGAAAGGGCAGAGCAGCCCAAGAAAGAGGAAGACAAGAUGUGCAGACUCACUGGUGACAGGGAAGAGAAAGUUCCUCAUAGAGGUGUUUACAGGUCAAGACUGGGCCCAGGGGAAGCCAGCAGGACUGAGGAUGGUGAACUCCAUGGAGCACGGAGUGACUAUGCAGUGGGCCAGCCACUCUGGAAGGCAGUUUGGGAGUAAAUGUUAAAUGUCUUAGACCAUUGCACCCUUUGAUCAGGCAAUGUCGUGUAUGAAUUCCACCCUGGAAGUAAGUAUUCUCAUUCCAACGGGAAGAGGUGGACGUACAGGAGAGGACAUCAGCCUUUGAAGGUGCCAGAGAACAUUGGAAAUAACCUAAGUGCCGUCGAAGGGGAACUGUCCCUCUUGCCUGCUGCCGUGAUGGAGUAACACAGCCUGGACUUACCCUCUGCCCCCAAAGCAAGAAACUGAAAACCGUGAAUCAGCUGUGUUCAGAAACUAGGCAAAAGGAACUGGGAUCCCCAGCAGACCAGGGCAGUCCUGCUGAGUUAAGAAGAAAGGGAUCAGGCCUCAGGACGGCUGAAGCUGGUGGACACGCAAGCAGAGCUCCCGAAAGGAGGGAGCUGCACAGACAAAAGCUACAGCCAUCGGCAAGGUCCCCUUAGCAUUGGCUCAAGAACCUGCCGUGUGUGUCACGGAUAAAACUCCACAGUACGGCACAGUGAGCCACUAGGAGCUGUGCACCGAGUGACUCCAGAGCUCACACAGGGUGAGGGGACAUUGGAGUGCUGACCAGCUGGACUUGACUGUCCUCAAUGGUCCCUUUGGCCUGCAGGAGAGACCCCAUAGGCCGCGCCUCCCCAGGGCUGAACCGGCCUGGAGUAAGGCUGCUCUAGCCCUAGUGUAACUAAGCUCAGAGUCCCACCCAAGAUCAAAGCGAAGCCCAAGUCACUGAGCACAGGCCGGACACGCACAGCCCUCUCUCCAGGAGGACUGAAAGUAAAAGAGAAAAUUCCAGAUCAUAAAGAAAGUAAAAACACCAUGCCCAGCAUCCCAGCAAAAAUUACCCACAUGCCAAGAAGCAGGAAAAUGUGACCAGCAAAAACGUGAAUCAGGAGAAAUAGACCCAAAGAUGACCGCAAUGAUGGAAUUACCAGACAACACCCUAAGACAGUCUUUCAAACAUUUUUAAAGGGAAAUGUAAACAUAAAGAGGGAAAUGGAAGAUAUAGAAAGAACCAAAUGGAACUUUAUAAAAUCUCCAGUGAAGAAUGAGCUGGGCAGGUGUGUUAGCCGGCUCGGGUGGCCAUAACGAAUACCGCAGUAUCCUGGGUAAACAGCAGGAAUUUAUCGCCUCGCAGGCUGGAGGCUGGAGUCCACGAGCAAGCUGUGGUGGGGCUGGUCUCCCUGAGACCUCUCGGCUUGCCUUGUAGACGGCCUCCUUCUCACCAUGUCCCCACAUGGUCCUUUCUCUGUGCAUGCGCAUCCCUGGGGUCUCUUUGGGUGUCCAAAUUUCCUAUUCUCCAUAGGCCUGCUCUCAGAUUGGAUUAAAGCCCACCCAGAUGGCCUCAGUUACCCUUAAUUACCACCUUUAAGGCCCUAUCUCCAAAUAUAGCCACAUUCCAAGGUAUUGGGGGUUAGGGUUUGAACAUACGAAUUUGGGGGGACGCAAUUUGGCCCAUAAAAGUAGGGUUAACACAGGCUGGACACUUCAAGAUGAUAUCCAUGAACUUGAAGCUAUAGUAAUAGAAACUAUCCAAAAUGAGGUACAAAGAGAAAAAAAGAAAAGGGAAAAAAAAACAGGGCCUCAGUGAUGCCUGGAAAAUAUCAAGCUGUCUAACAUCAAUAUAAGUGGAGUCUUACAAAACAAGAGAGAGGCAAGAACAGAAAAAUUAAAGAAAAAGUAUAAACCUACAAACAAAAGAAUGCCUACAAACCCCAGGAAGGAUAAACAAGAAAGAACAUAUAACAAGGAAAAUCACAAUCAAAUUCCUGAAAAACAGGGAUAAAGGGAAAAACCCCAAAUCAGUCUCAGCGAACACCGUCACAUCCAGAGAAGCAGAGAUAAGGGGCACGGCUGAAUUCUCACCAGAAACAGUGCAAGUCAGGGACGAUAGAAACAUCUAGAACACGCUGGAGAACAUCUCAACUUAGACUUCCAUACACAGUGAAGGUAUUUGCCCAAAAUGGAAGCACAACAAAGACUGAGGACUUCCAUUUCAUGAUUUCUAUAAAAGCUCCGGUCGUCCAUCACCAGCAGACUUUCAUUACAAGAAAUGUGAAAGGACUUUCUUCAAAGACAAGGAAGUCGGUACCCAAUGAAAACGCAUCUCUACUCAAAGGAAUGGAGAGUGAAAGAAAUGGUAAAUAUGUCAGUAAACAUGAGACAUCUUUUUCUCAUUUUUAAAAUUUCUUUUAAAAAUAAUAGAAAGCUUAAAGAAAAAUAACAAUGUGCUGUCAUGGUCACAGCACGUGGAAGUAAAAUCCAUGACAAUAAGAGCAAGAAGCCUGGGGCAGGGAAACGUGAGUGGACUGUGUAAGGUGCUUUUCAUGGUCUGUCAAGCGGGUGAUAGUGGGAGGUGAGGACAGGUGCAUAUUGUAAGCCCUAGAGCAGCCGCUGAUAAAUAAAAUGAAGAUGUGUAGCAAAUAAGCCCACAGUGCAGAUGAAUGAAAUACCCAAAAAACACUCAAUUCGUCAAGAAGAAGGCAUAAAGGAGGAAACAAGAAACAAAGAACAGCAAAUAAUUAUCAAAAUAUGGACCCAAACCCAACCACACAGGAAACUACAUGGAAUGGAAAUGGUCUCAAUCCUCCAGUUAAAUGCAGACAUUGUCUUACUGCAUGCAAAACCAAAACUGUAGGCUGACGUGCAAAGGAUACUGUACACAGAAAGAGACAGCAGCCAAAAGAAGAGGACAGCGAUUGGAGAUUGCAGGGUUCUAGAGGCCGGGGGCUGUGCAGAAACAGAGCCCCCAAAUCUGCAGAGGCAGCUGAGAGACUCCCACAGCCAACGUCUCAGUCGAUGGUGAAGACGGCAUGCUUUCACCCAAGAACAGGACGAGGCAGGGACGCCCACUCAUCCCCUUCUGCACAACACUGCACUGGAGUCUCAGAAAGGGCAACGCGGCAAGAAAAAGAAAGAGAAGGCGCGGCGAUGGGAGCGGAAGGGAAACAUUGCUUCUUCGCAGACAACGUGACCACAUAUAUAAAAGUUCUACAAUGUCUACAGAAAGGCUAAGUGGCCUACACAGCUUAUUUAGUGACGUCACAGGACACAAGGCCAACAGUUUAGAAAAUACAGAUGGGUUUUUGAAAUUUAAAAGAGCAAGAACACACUCACAUUAAAAACAUGAAGCAUCUGGGACAAAUUCAACAGAAUGUGUGCAGGCCUGUGCAGGCCCUGCCGAGGGAGGGGACAGAGGACGCCGUAAAUGGAAAGGUACGAUGCUCACAAAGUGGAAGACUGGGUUUCGGCAAGAUGUCAGUUCUCCCCCAAGUAACCAGAGAUCAAUGUAGUCCCAAUCAAACUGCAGCAGGCUUGUUUGUGGAAAUUGAUACGCUGAUUUUUUACACUCAUGUGAAAACAGAAAGGAGUUAUCGUGGCCAAAACAAUUUUGAAAAGGAAGAGCAGGGCUGAAGGACGUGAGCUGUAAGCCUCGUGGAUCCAGCCCAGAUGGUGUAGGCAGGAGGAGUACCAACCGGUCGACGAGACGGAAGAGACGGAGUCCACAAACAGACCCGCUCGUGUGCGAUCACCAGAGUGUUGUCGGAGGCGCCACAGUAAUCCCACAGGGGAAAGGUAAUCUUUGUAGGCAACAGUUGCUGGAACAGGGAGAAUCAAGGCGGCAAAAAUGAAGCUCAGCCUUUACCCUCACCACGAGCAAAAAGUAGCCCAAAGGGACCAUAGGCCUAAAUGUAAAAGCUAAAAUUAUUAAACUUCUGGUAGAAAACAUAGGAGAAAAUCUUUGUGACCUUGAAGUGGGCAAAGAUUUCUUAGAGAGGACAUGAAAGACAUAAACCAUCACAGAAAAACAGAUAAAUUGGACUUCAUCCAAAUUAAAGACUUUGCUCUUCAAAGUUUGAUAUUAAGGAAAUGAGAAGGCAAACCACCUGCUGGGGAAAAUAUCCACAACACACAUGUCUUGCCCAAAAGAUAUAUUUUUUAAAAAUUUCUUACAACUCAAUAAGAAGACAAACAACUCAAUAUUCUUUUAAUGGUCAAGAUUUUUGAACAGAUCCUUCCCCAAAGAAGACACACAGACGGCACAUGCAAAGAUGCUCAGCAUCAUUAGUCAACAGGGAAAUGCAAAUUAAAAUGACAAGGAGAUACCACUUCACAGCUAUCAGAGUGGCUAAGGGUAAAGUCUGACCAUAUCAGGUAUUGACGAGGAUAUGGCGUUACUGGAUCUGUUGACACUGCUGGUGGGAAUGGAAAGUGGUACGACCACUUUGGAUGACGGUUUGGCAAACGCUUACAAAGUUAACCACACGCUUUCCAUCUGACCCAGCCAUUCCACUCCUAGGUAAAUAACCUAGACAAAGGAAAAUAUACGUCCACACCAAAAGCUGUUUACAGACUUUCAUAGCAGCUUUACGCACAUUAACCAAGAACCGGCAGCCACCCAGACACCAUGAACAGGUGAAUGGAUACACAUAUGGUGGCAUAGUCAUAAAACGGGAUACAACUCAGUGAUAAGAAAGAGUGAUAUUGAUACACAGCGUCAUGGAGGGACCUCGCGGUCAUUAUGCUGAGUGAAGAGGCCGGACCCCAAGGAGCGACAGAGUGUGACUGCGUUGAUGUGAAAGUCUGGAACAGGCAGGUGCAAGGCAGAGGCAGAGAAAGCAGGUCACACAUGCCUGGACCAGGGGUGGGGACUGCCUGGAAGGGGCUCGUGUGGGUCACAGAGGGCUGCCAUGCCAAUGUCCCCUGGCCUGGGUGGCCUAAACAACAGAAAUUUACUUCUCUCAGUUGGAGGCUGGAAGGCUGAGAUCAAGGUGCAGGCUGGCUGGUCUCCUGAGGCCUCCCUCCUUGGCCCGCAGAUGGCCACCUUCUCCCAGUGUCCUCACGCGGCCUUUUCUCUGUGCACCAGCAUUCCUGAUGUCUCUUUCUCUUCUGAAGUCCUACCGGGUCAGGGCCCCAGGCUUACGACCUCAUUUAACCGUAACGACCUCCUGACAGCCCUGCCUCCAAAUUCGGUCACCCUGGGGGUCAGGUCUUCAAUAUAUGAAUUUGGGGGACACAAUUCAGUGCAAAGAGUCUCCAACAAGAACGCGAGUUCCCAAGGACAGGGAGGUUUCUCCGCCACUCACAGCUACGUCCCCAACACCUGGCACAGAGUGGGCACUCGGAACAGACCCACUGGGCAGAUGCGAGGUAGAGGAAAGCCCUCGACAGCCUAGAGCUGGCCUGGCGCUAUCAGCCGGCCUUGGUGUUCUCCAGGUAAAUUAAUGUCAUGGCACGUCAACAUCGACAAGGAUACACAGACAGGUAUGAACUCAGACAAACAGUCACUGUCACGCCACAAAAACAACCAAAUACCGCCGCCCUGGCAAAUACGGGUGACUGCUGCUCCCUCCCUCACCACCCACACAAUGUCAGCCAUGCCCUUCUGCUUACAUCCUCGACAGGAUGCAUUCAGAUCCCCAUCGUGGAGCACCCGCUCCUCCAGCACUCAAUCCAGCACGACCAAAAUCACCCAGCACCCCCUAGAUGCCACCAUUCCUGCCCAACACGUCUCACGAAGGCCCCCGGUCCCCGCAGGUGUGUCCUCUCACUGUGAUGGGGCAGCGUCCCAACUUCUCGGGGCGCAGGUGCGGCGUGGUGGUGGCUGCAAGGUGCUGGCCGCUGUUGGGGUUCUCCAGGUGAAGCAGCCACAAGACGAACCCAGUGCUCUUUCUCUCGCUAAUGUUGACCCCCGGGAGACAGCUCUGGUAAGGUGAUUUGCUAAAAGAUCUGGGACCCCCACACCACCAACUGCGUCCACACCCACUCCCACCCCAGCCCUGAGGGCAGGGAGGCAGAGAGGCUUGAAAGGGGACAGAGAAGCUCAACCUGUGAUGCGUUAAAAAAAAAAAAAAAAAAAAAGCAUGUCUGCGUGUGUAUGUUUCUCUGUGUCCCGAAAAAUUCCGGGUGCCUGUGCCUCAGGGUGGGUGGGGAGAGCUCUCGCCAACAACAAACUUCCACUUUCUGCUGUGGUCUGUUCCGCACUGCGUGAGUUUUUGUAACAUCACGUGUCACUUUUACAAGAAAAAGGCUGAUCAAGAGCCAUAUUAACAGUCAUUGCUGGUGACGGCCGGGCCACCAGGCCAGCCCCACGUACCCCACCAUUUCCCCAGAAGGGAGCUCGGGUCCCUCGAGGAGUCAGGGGGCAGAAAGUAGGACAGAGGUUCAGGGGCUGGGGGAGCGAGAUGAGGAGUUAGCGCUCAAUGGGGACAGAGUUCCUACUGAGAUGACAUAAAAGUUCUGGAGACGGAUGGUGGUGAUGGUUGCACAUUAACGCGAAUGUGCUUAAGGCCACUGAGUUGUACACUUACAAAUGGUUAAAUGGUAAAUCUUACGUAAUAUAUAUUUCAUCGCAAUUUUUAAAAUACAUCAAAUUUGUUUGUUAAAAGAAAGCAGGAGGGAGCCUCGUGGUGCUGGUUCUGUUUUGACCACAUCAGUGUCAACACCCCCACACACACUGCGCAGUAGUUUUGCAAGACGUUACCAACGGGGGAAACUGGGUGAAAGGUACACGGGAUCUUUCUGUAUGAUUUCUUACAACUCCCUGUGAACUAUCUCAAAAUAAAAAGUGCAACAACAAAAAAGUCAGAUGAGAAGCACUCUGAACGGAUGUUUGCACUUCAGUGGCGUACAAAGUUGUCCAACCAGAGCCCGAGGCCCCCGGGCCUCCGUGCACCCCUCACUGUCAGCGGGCGGCCCAGGCACAGCGGGCCAGCCUCCGCCUCAGCCCAAAAACAGGAAACGCCCCGCCGACAGUGGGCGAGCUGUGGCAGAUGUGCGGUUCCUCCUGGCCUAGCGUGCGCUUCCGCCUGCCUUGAAGAGAUAGUUUCUUUUUUAACAGAGACCGUAAUCAUCUUUUUCCCCGAGUUGUCACCAUGGAGUCGAAAGGAUUGCUCUACUUUGCCUUUCUCUUUGUUCAAACAUGGUCGCUGGCUGUAAUUUUACAAAGGAGACGUGGAACAGACGAGGGUAACGGGGCACAGGGGGCUGUCCCCUCCCACAGAAGAGAGACGUGCUGACAGAUGGGGCAACUAGAACCCUGACGGUGGCAUGGAGGAGCAAUCAUUAACGGGGGGCUCAGGACCCCGUGAGCUAGAGCCGCACCAGGCCCAGACACAGCAGCAGCAUUAAACAGCACAGCACAUCAAUAGCACAGCCUGCUGCCGUCACCGCCCAACGCUGACCCAUCCUCUCGAGUCCCUCUCUGUGCAAGGUCAGCCUUCCUCCUCGCAGACAAUGCUUCCCCAGAUGGUAAGUUCCUCCUGAACCUCACAGCCCAUCCAUUUCUCAGGACCCACCAGAGACCCGCCCAGGCUGGGCAUUUCCCGGUCGUCUGUCCCCACUGUGCCCCGCCCCUGAGGCUGGGGCGGGCUUGAGCCCCAAAGGGACCUCUCCCUUCGCCUCCAACAGGGGGAGACCUCAGAGCGCCUUCCCGUCCUGGGAGCUGCAGAUGCUCGAGCCAGGCUUUCCCCACGGACAGGCUGCAAGACGCCAGGGGGCAGCAAACCCCAGAGCCAGCCUGUGCUCUGGUUUCUCCUGGGCGGUGUCUGUGGCCUCCACACCACAAAGGCAAGGCGCCAGGUGGGGUGGGGGCUUGGGGUCACAUUCCCUUUAAGAUUGUCCAUCCCCACCCCACCCCCACCCCAACAAAAUGCAGGGUGCUCCCUGCCGGGUUCUGAUCCAGUAAGGGACGCUGGGCCGUGCCCAGGAUGAAGUGACUUCUCAGCCCUGCCCCCGCUUUGGGAGAAGCACUUAUCCCGGGGAAUCAAUAGGGGACGAGAUUUGGGGGACCAGGAGGAGAGACGCUGAGGGAGGUGCACUCCCCACUCUGCUCAGUGCACGCUAAGCGGCCACGGUGGGAGCAGGUGCCAGCCCCCACUGCUGAGGGGCACCAGCCCACCCCCGGGCCCCUGCGUGUCCUUGGCACCAUCCCUGAGUCUGCAGGGGCCUCUGUUUGCUCAUCUUCGAAUGGGGACAAUGACGUCCUCGCCUCCAGGAUGUUGGGAAGGUGAUUUCGGAACCCACAAUGUGACAGCUAGCACACUGCCUGGCCCACAGGGGGCUCAAGGUAAUCGGGAGGCUCCCCCCAGGCGGCCCGAGGACAGAAGGAGCUGUCUCUGGCUCAGCCCAUCCCUGAGAGUCUUCCCUGUCACUGGGGGCCAGGGGGGCAGGCUGGGCCUUGACCACGGUUCAGGGAAGAAGCCAGCAGGGCAAGGGUCCAGCCCAGGAUACCCUUGGCACAGUGACCCAUCCCCGGAGGCCCCAGAUCCCUCCCUACACCCUAGGCAGGGGGCCUGAAUCUCAGGGGUGGCAGUCAGACUCGGGGGACGGGGCAGAGACCUGGCAGAGGCUCAGUCCAGCACCUUUAUUCAAGCUCCACGUGGUCCAGCUCUGAGGCACAUGCUGUCCAUACCCACGCACAUCCACCAUUGACCACUGGAUACACCUGCAUCCCACCAGGAUGCCACGGCGGCCCCACACCUCCCCCGGUGUCCAGCACGGGGCCGUGCCCUUCCAAUGCACAGCAUUUCCCCCAGCCCACCCCACCCCUGCUUUAACAUAAAGCAUCCAGUUCUUUCCCAACUUGGAAGAAGCAGAGGUCCAGACGCAGGGCGUGGCUGUGCUGAUCAGGCAGAAGUGGCUGCCCCAGCUCCCUCUGCCAUGGACAAUCUUGACCAUUUACAGCAGCUGUGACAUACAAAACCCUUGCCCUCAGGACCCCUCCUUCAGGAGGAAGACCUGGGGCACUGCUGCCGGCUGAGGGGCCCCACCAGCUGGCAGGCUGGGCUGCUCAGCCUGGGCUCUAGUGCCAGACAGCAAAUAGGAGGGGAAACAAAAUUCCCUACUGCAGGAGGAGCGCUGCGCCCCGCCAGCCCCAGCCCUCUCCUCUCCGUCCAAGGGGUCUGGCAACUGCCACUGGGGCCCUUGUGGCCAGGGGCGCAGGGGGCGCAGGGGGCGCGCUGCUUUCAGGCCGCGGCAGGGAUCUCUUCUGCAUGUCGCUGUUCAGCUCAGCCAGGGUGUGCAUCCGCACGUGGUGCAGGGAGAGGACGGGAAGGCUUCUCGGAGGCAGCGCGCCACGGCUUCCCUGGACUCAUCCGCGGUUUGCCGAGCCGCCGGGGGCUGCGGAGAGUGAGCCGAGCGGGUGAGCAGGCUGCGGAAGCGGGCACCCCUCAGGGCGCCCGCCCUGCCCUGCCUCAGGUGACACCCCCACCACCACUCCCUGCCAUUCCCCCCACCUCAGCCACCCCCACCGAGCCACAGCAGGCUCGGUGCUCACCGGGGAUGUUGCCACCUCCGUCUCCACGAUGUCACUUCCCCAGCUCGGAGCUGGGCGGGCGCCCCGAACUCCACAAACAGGGGGAAGAGCAGAGACCUGGUGAGGGGCGGCCGCCGGACCCUGCCAAGACCCGCGGGUGCGCCCUCGCGCUGCCGCCGCCCGGGAGCCGGACUGCCCUUUACUUCGAGAGUCGGCAGGGGGCUGCGCCUGGAGCCAGGCCCGCGGGGGCCAGAGCGCACGGCACGGACGGUGGCCGAAACGCCGAGGCGAGCGGCGGCGGUGCCUUUAUGCGGCGCGGGCGGUGGGGCCGUGGGCACGAGCGCUUUCCCACGCUCGCCAACCAAUCGGCAGCCAGGACCGGCCGAAGUGCAGGAGCCCCGGCACAGGACAAGCGUCCCCAGUGGCCACCGUCUUGUCACUUUGGAUCUCCAGAGCCAUGCCUGGUCCCCUUUCUGGGCCUCACCAUUUCUUCAUACCUGACUAGUCUUCCCGCCUGACCAUGAGCUUGCCCAGCCAAAGCACCUGCCAGGCCUGGCUAUACUUACUGGGUGACAAAAGUGGCUGCAGUGGCAGCCCAGGAUGUGGAAGCAACAUGGAGACACAUCGGGGAAGGGUGCUGACCACCAGGGUCGCAUAGAGGGGUCAGUGCCCCUUGACUGGGCCAGGGCCGCUGCCCCUGGGAAAGCUCACUCUCCUCCUCCCUUUCUGAAAGGCCAGGCUCCAGCUGCCACCUCCUCCUGGAAGCGCCCCGCCCCCGGCCUCCUCUCCACUCCCCCAGGCUGGUCCUUGUAUUUAUUAUAAGGUCAUCCUCAGAAGUGACCUGGGCAGUUAAUUCCUGGGGGCAGAGAUCCCACAGCCCCCCACCCUGGCUUCCCCGGGACCUGGUAUUUUUAGAGCCAACCUAAGAAGGCUCUCUCACGAGCCCAGGGAGGCAGUGCUGUCCGUCGUCUCAGACAAGGAAGCUGAGGUCCGGAGAGAAGGCCUUGCCCAGCCCUCCGGCCCCCAUGUCCCCUCCUGUCGCCCACACUGUGUGGGAGGAUGGGGUGGGGGCAGGCGAGGGGACGGAGGUAAAUCGAGGGGAGAGCACAGCACGGGCCAGGCUUGGAGCAGGAAAUGUGGCAGCGGGUGUGGGGCGAGGGAGAGGUGGGCAGGGCCACGGUGGUGGCCGUGCCCAGCGCAGCAGCAGUGUGAAGGGUCCCCAGGGAGGCCCUUCACCUGGGCGCCCAGGAUGAGUGAUGGCUCAGGAACCAUGCCAGCCUAGGGCAAAACGGGGGGAGCCAGCAGGUGGCUGGCCUGGAUGGCAGCACAGGACUGCUCCCAAGUCCCAGCCCUGAGGACCUCCCAGGCCCCUUGAUGGUCAGCAGGCAGACACCACCCCUGCGGACUCAGGCCCUGCUCGGGGGUGGCCAGGUAGGCCGUGGCUGUGCCUCUGCCCGCCCCGCCCGCCUCCAGGCCCUGAAUGGCUGGGAGCCUUUUGUGGCAGAGCAGCUGGCGGCGGCUCUUUAUGUGGGGCUGUGGGAAAGUCCGCGGGCCAGCCUCUCACAGCCUCUCACAAGCCGGAUUAUCUCGGGGCCUGCAGGACACCCUCUCAAGGACAGCCCCCCAGCAGGGGUGGGGGCAGGGGCGCCUCCACAGAGGUCCUGUCUGCCAGCCCUGGCCCCAGAAGUCCCUUAGUCCCAGGGUCCCUGAGUGGAGAGACCCUCAGACAUCCUGCUCCCUGCCCCCAUCAGUCCAGCUGCCAGACUCAAAGCUGCCCACCACACCUCAGGCAGGACUUUCAGGGGGCCCCGCCCACCCCGUCCCUCUGGGGUUCUCCCUUCUGACUGUCCAGGCCUCUGGCCCUCUAGGGGGCGGGCAGUGGAAGGGUUUGCUUGGGGCAGAAACCACCUACCCCGCCACCCUCGUGUGGCUGCGCCCAAAGCUGGGUCAGCUCAAGGCAGGCCCAGGGCUGAGGCCAGACUUGGGGGUGCUCAGGGGGCCUGGCUGGGGAGGGCGGGGCAGGGAACUGCACACAUAUGCAGCGCCUACUGCGUACAAGCUGAGCAGCACGUAGGUCUUCUCCCUGGACCUGCUCACAAUCCCGAGAAGGAGGCAGGACCGCAUCUAUCCCACUGAGCAGGGACAGACCUAGGCCCAGAGACCUGCCUGAGGUCACACCAUCCCAGGGCUCUUUGGCCCCAGAACCCCAACCUUUCCCUGUUCCAUUGGCCAGCUCCCAGGUGGCCCAGAACGUGGGCAGAGAUCACCCCCCAGGAAGCAGAGCGAAGUGGGGUAGACGGAGGCAAAGGCAGGCAGAGCCGGGGCCGGGGCCUCCAAAUGGUCGUGGUGUCAAUCCAGCAGCUGUGUGCAGAGGCCACGUGGAGGCUCGGCCUUGCUUCAUGCCCCGCGUCUCAGCACAGGCCUGGGGCGGACUGUUACUAGCCCGGUUUUACAGAUGAGGAAACUGAGGCCCAGAGAGCCCAGGUACUAAGUGGCGGCAUCUGGAUUCGAACUCUGAGCCCACAGCCCCACCCACCAGGCUAUCCUGCCUCCAGAGGGUCUCUGGCGGGAACAGCCAGGAGGGAGUAGCACUCCAAAGGAUUGGGGGCGGGAGCAGGCGCCCCCUAAGUCUCCUUGUCACGCCUAGUGCCCGUGCCAGGGCCAGCGCACGCAGGGGACACCCGGGGCUGUGGGAACGGGGAGGAGCUGGCAGGCCAGAUGUGCGGCCAUCCAGCACGUUGCUCAGGAGCUGCUGCCCCCUCCCGGGCCUUCAAAGGCAGCCUGGGGAGCCCCGCCCGCCGGGACGCCUGCUCCGCAGAUGGCCUCUGGGCCGCAGCUCCGCACACAAAGCGGGCCGUGCGAACGAGUUUGUCGCAGGGCACACGCCUUUUGUGCAGGAUGAGUGUCCGUGGCGGGGGCGGGUAUGGGAAGCCACCCAGAGUGGCCUUCCGCCCAGACUCCCCUCCGGCUGGAGGCGGGCAGGGCUACAGGGCAGCCGCCUGGAAAGAGCUACACAGCCUCUGUGCCCACAACCUGGGCCUUCCCACAUGGCAUCAGACUGACGGGGGCAGGGGCCGGGAGCCCACUGAGGCUCCCCCCUCCCCCAUUCCACACACAGAGAAGCAGGGGCCCGAGGGGGGCUGACAGGAGCUGUCCUCAUUCUCCCCUGAGAGUGGGCUCCAGGGGUGGUGGGAUGGGGCCCAGAGCCCAGCAGGCAAGUGGUCACCUGCUAGAUGCCCUUGGUUGAGGCCAGGAACCAUCUCUGUCCUGGGGAGUGGGGGGCAGGAGACUGCAGAUGAGGUCACUGUCAGACUCGGAGGACAGGCAGGGUAGGCGGGCCGGGUUCCUAAGCCCUGGCCUCUGCCCAGGGCCCCCCACCUUCCUCCCUGCACCCCAAGGCCAGGCUCUGGGCAGGCUACCUGGUUCACAGCAGCCACUUCCAGUGGGUAAUGACUGCCUGGCUGGGGGUGGGAGGCCUUGGUCUUGCCUCCUCCCCUAAGCCUGUAGCCAGCCGGGGUCCCAGGCUUGGCCUCCCUUGCCUUCAUCUGUGAACUGGGGUGUCGUGUCCCCUGCAGCAAGCGGGUCUGAGGAGAUGUGAGCCUAGUAGCUGUGGGGAGUGUCAGGCGUGCCCUGGGCUGUGGGCAAAGGGGUUCCCUGCUGGCCAGUGCUGAGCUUCACUGAGGGGUCCCCACACUGGGCUGGAAGCCUCGUGCCCCUGACAGCUGGCCUUGACUGCCAGUUAUAAUGGGAGGAGGGGUCCCCAGGAGGUGGGAGCCUCAGCGGGUACCCAAAGGGAGUGUUGAUGAAGCUUGUUAUUUGGAGUCAGGACAGGGGUCCCGUAAGGGGUCAGGCAGGAGCUGCUGUGCACAGGGGGUGGGGUCCAAGGAUCAGGGAGAAGUCACCAUGAAGGGCAGGGAGCCUGAGUCCUACAUCUGUGACUCUUGGGCCCCCACAGUGCCUGGGAGGCAGAGGGUCCCAGCCGGGAUGGUGCCUGCAGGGCCGGCCUUCUUCACUCCCUUCAGCCAUCAUGGGGGCAGGGGGAGCCCCACGAGGCCAGGAUGCGAGGGGGGCUCAAACACUCCGUGGCAGUCCAGUGAGGCAGAGAGAAGGGACUUCCAAACCCAGCACCCAGAGCUGCCCAGGUCCCUCUGCGCCCCCAGUGGGUGGGCCCCCACCCCCACGGGCCCUGUGUCCUGUCUGCUCCCACAUUUGUGUGCAGAUUAGUUGCCAUCCCCAAAGCCCUCAGCCUCUGAGCUGCUGCUCUCCUGUGUGUCCCACCCAGAGGAAAGCGGGGCCCCCACCCCUGCAUUUCAUCUGAGAGCCCCCAGUGACCUGAGCAGGCGACGGGGGAGCUCCUUAAAGAUCAGCCAGGCCCACCCCUCAACAAUCAGGCGGCCCAGUGUUUCGUCGGUUCGAAUCCUGGGCGCGGACAUGGCACUGCUCAUCAAACCACGCUGAGGCAGCGUCCCACAUGCCACAACUAGAAGGACCCACAACGAAGAAUAUACAACUAUGUACCGGAGAGCUUUGGGGAGAAAAAGGAAAAAAUAAAAUCUUUAAAAAAACAAGCAAACAAACAAACCAAAAAAACCAUUCUUGGGAAGGCACAAGGUGGAGGGGCUGAGCUCGCCCCUGUUCUAAGCACCUGACAUCAACAUGUUUGAUCCCCUAAAAGCCAGCAGGUGGGCACUACCGUCAUCCCCGUUUUACAGAUAAGGAAACUGAGGCAUGGAUAGAGUUAAGUGCCCUGUCCUGGGUCACACAGUGGGGAGACACCCUCGGGGGGUCUGCUGGGAGUCCUCCCGCCCCCCACGCACAGCCAGGCCCUCGGCGUUCGCAGGGAUGGCGGCAGGGAUGGCGGAUGUGGCCAGGCGCGGGCUGUGGGUUCGUGCUGGCCGGCGGUUCCCACGCUGCGGCGGCGGCCAUGGAAGCGUGCCUGGGCCUGGGGCAUUAGUGCCGGGUCUGCCUCUGAAUGAAUGAGGGCGGCCGCGGGGGGCGAGGGGGGGCAACUCCCAAAAGACCAUCUGGCUCUGCGUCAUAAUAGAGCAAUAAAGGGCUUGUCUGCCUUUCAGAGAUUGGGAACGGCCGCUCUCUGACACCACGGGGUUUAACCAGCUUGGGACAGCGACCCGGCCCUGCCCCCGGCCCCUCCUCCAGGGCCGCGCUUCCCCACCGCCCACCUCUGCCUGCCCCGGUGGCCACCGCCCUAGCCCUGGCUCUACACUGGGGGAACUGAGGCCCAGGAGGCUGGGGCUGGUCGAACCUGGGGUCUUUGCCAGGGCCACUCCGGGUCUGGAAUGCAGCUCAUUUGGGAACGUGGGCCUGCUUUGGUCCGCAACAUCUGGGGUCCCCAAGUCUGGCUCGGGGAACUUGGGGGCUGCAGUCUAUGGGCGACACCCUCGUGGAGGGCAGGAGACCCCAGAUUGAUGGAUACCCCGCCCACCCCCACCAUCAGGUCCCAGGGUGGAGCCUGGCCUUGGUCAGAUGAGAGAAGGCGGGGCCGAGGCCAGAAUCACCACCCCCUCCAGGUGGGGAUGCCAUCUUGCCCCAGGUCUCCUGUGAGUAAGAGGUGAGGCUGGAAGUCAACGCUGGGCGGCCGUCCAAGGGCAGCUUCUGAGGAAGGGUCCGAGUCCCCCGGAAUCAUGGAAUCUGACCGAGUCAGCAGGUUUGCGACCUGCCCCUUAGUGGCCUAGACCCCAGCCCAGCGGGCCUCUGAAAUGCACAUCUGUGGCCCCAGCCCAGGCCUGCCCCACGGGCACUCACAUACAGCCUUUCCUGAGCAUGCUUCCCAGCUCAGAGCCCCCACGGCUCCCCGUUGCAGAAGGAGAAGUUGGUGCAUGGACAGGGGUGCAUGACGGCCCUGUCCCCUAACUUGGUGGCCCUGACUCAGUGUACUGCCCAUAUUUUGGAUGAGAAUUUCAGGCAGCCCCGGGCGUCAGCCCCAGCAAUGGGGGCUCCUGGGUGGGGGCCAAGGGGCCCAAGUAGGGUGAACACUAUGCUUUUCUUAGUAACUCUCCAGUCCCCCUUUGGCCACCCUUAGUCACCUCCAGCAACCUGUGGCCAGUCUCUCCAUCGGGUGGUCUUGGCAGAAAAAGCCCAUCCUAUACAGGUAAACUGAGGCACAGAAAGGACCGGCAUACCUUCGACAGAAAGCCAAGGGCAGAGCCUGGCCCCCCCCAUUGCCUGCCCUCUGGGCCUCCCCAUGAUGAACACACUCAGGGAGGAACCUACAAGGGCCGAGCUGCUCCCCAGCCCUGCUCCCCAGCCCUGCACCCAGCCUUGCUCCCUAGCCUUGUUCCCCAGCCCUGCUCCCAGCCCUGCUCCCUGCUCUGGGCCCCCGCCCUGCGCCCAACCCUGCUCCCCAGCCCUGCUCCCCAGCCCUGCUCCCCAGCUCUGCACUCAGCCUUGCUCCCCAGCCCUGCACCCCAGUGCUGCUCCCCGGCCCUGCUCCCCUGCUCUGCACUCAGCCUUGUUCCCCAGGCCUGCAC
This 22805-nucleotide long non-coding RNA is filed under the name Equus caballus (horse). RNAcentral's name for it is "lncRNA (ENSECAG00000044824.1)". Lineage: Eukaryota; Metazoa; Chordata; Mammalia; Perissodactyla; Equidae. The record is from RNAcentral.